This 497-nucleotide ribosomal RNA is filed under the name uncultured bacterium. Its description in RNAcentral is "partial 16S ribosomal RNA". It matches the Rfam family "Bacterial small subunit ribosomal RNA", at positions 28 to 507 of the family's 1533-position model. The record is from RNAcentral.
GAUGAACGCUGGCGGCGUGCCUAAUACAUGCAAGUCGAGCGAACAGAUCAGGAGCUUGCUCCUUUGACGUUAGCCGCGGACGGGUGAGUCACACGUGUGUAACCUACCUAUAAGACUGGAAUAACUACGGGAAACCGGGGCUAAUGCCAGAUAACCUUUAGAACCGCAUGGUUCUAAAGUGAAAGAUGGUUUUACUAUCACUUAUAGAUGGACCCGCGCCGUAUUAGCUAGUUGGUAAGGUAACGGCUUACCAAGGCAACGAUAGGUAGCCGACCGGAGCGGGUGGUCGGCCACACUGGGACUGAGACACGGUCCAGGGUCCUACGGGAGGCAGCAGUAGGGAAUGUUCGGCAAUGGGGGAAAGUCUGACGGAGCAAGGCGGCGUGAGUGAUGAAGGUCUUCGGAUCGGAAAACCCUGUUAUUAGGGAAGAACAAAUGUGGAAGUAACUGUGGACGUCGUGACGGUACCUAAUCAGGAAGCAACGGCUAACUACGUG